Molecule: ribosomal RNA, 482 nt
Filed under: uncultured bacterium
Lineage: Bacteria
Description: partial 16S ribosomal RNA
Rfam family: Bacterial small subunit ribosomal RNA
Source: RNAcentral
AUUGAACGCUGGCGGCAUGCCUUAUACAUGCAAGUCGAACGGUCACAGGCCGCAAGGUGCUCUCGAGUGGUGAAGGGGGACGUAAUGCUUCGAAACGGGCCCCCUCGCUGGGGGUAUCUACUCGCAUGAGUAGCUAAUACCGCAUACGAGCUAUGGAUGAAAGCGGGGUACCUUAAGACCUCACGCGAUUUUUGCUGUCGAUGUCAGAUUAGGUAGUUGGUGGGGUAAAGGCUCACCAAGCCAACGAUCUGUAGCUGGUCUGAGAGGACGACCAGCCACACUGGAACUGAGACACGGCCCAGACUCCUACGGGAGGCAGCAGUAGGGAAUUUUGCACAAUGGGCGCAAGCCUGAUCCAGCAAUGCCGCGUGCAGGAAGGAGGCCUUCGGGUUGUAAAAUGCUUUUGUACGGAACGAAACGGCCCUGGUUAAUCCCCGGGGCUAAUGACGGUACCGUAAGAAUAAGCACCGGCUAACUACGUG